Dalotia coriaria is the source of this 372-nucleotide long non-coding RNA. RefSeq lists it as uncharacterized. The transcript is spliced from 3 exons. Lineage: Eukaryota; Metazoa; Arthropoda; Insecta; Coleoptera; Staphylinidae. The record is from RefSeq and is a predicted model, not a curated record.
AACGUACCGAUAAAAAAACUUGCACGUUGUGUUUACCUGUGCACAAACUGUACUCUGCAGUUAAGUUCGGUCUGUUAUUGAUGCAGGGUGGUACACGAUUAACUCUGCUCGCGCAAGUUUAUUAAAACUUUAAUUCGACGAAUCGAAUUUUAUUAUAUAAAAGUUGAAAAUACGUAAUUUGAACCGUGCGUCUUGAUUUAAUAAGUGUCUGUGGAACGUUUGCAAAUCCGGUGCCGGAGAGAUGUGUAUUUAUAGUCACUUCGUACUCUAUUUUGGAUCAACACUAGCUUUUGAUGUGCGACAUGCAAUAUGCUGUUCUCGGGAGCGCCGUCUUAAGAACAACAGAACCGUUUUAAAGAUGGGUUGUUAAAU